CCUACGGGAGGCAGCAGUGAGGAAUAUUGGUCAAUGGGCGCGAGCCUGAACCAGCCAAGUAGCGUGAAGGAUGACUGCCCUACGGGUUGUACACUUCUUUUAUAAAGGAAUAAAGUGAGGCACGUGUGCCUUUUUGUAUGUACUUUAUGAAUAAGGAUCGGCUAACUCCGUGCCAGCAGCCGCGGUAAUACGUAGGAUCCGCGCGUUAUCCGGAUUUAUUGGGUUUAAAGGGCGCGUAGAUGGGUUGUUAAGUCAGUUGUGAAAGUUUGCGGCUCAACCGUGAAAUUGCAAUUGAUACUGGCAGUCUUGAGUACAGUUGGGGUAGGCGGAAUUCGUGGUGUAGCGGUGAAAUGCUUAGAUAUCACGAAGAACUCCGAUUGCGAAGGCAGCUUACUAAACUGCCACUGACAUUGAUGCUCGAAAGUGUGGGUAUCAAACAGGAUUAGAUACCCGGGUAGUC
This 460-nucleotide ribosomal RNA is filed under the name uncultured bacterium. RNAcentral describes it as "partial 16S ribosomal RNA". It matches the Rfam family "Bacterial small subunit ribosomal RNA", at positions 338 to 795 of the family's 1533-position model. The record is from RNAcentral.